CGCUACUACCGAUUGGAUGGUUUAGUGAGGUCCUCGGAUCGGCCCCGCCAGGGUCGGUCGCGGUCCUGGCGGAGCGAUCAAACUUGACUAUCUGGAGGAGGUAAAAGUCGUAACAAGGUUUCCGUAGGUGGACCUGCGGAAGGAUCAUUA
RNAcentral lists this ribosomal RNA (150 nucleotides) under Siganus corallinus x Siganus puellus. RNAcentral's name for it is "partial 18S rRNA". It matches the Rfam family "Eukaryotic small subunit ribosomal RNA", at positions 1677 to 1831 of the family's 1831-position model. The record is from RNAcentral. Lineage: Eukaryota; Metazoa; Chordata; Actinopteri; Siganidae.